RNAcentral lists this ribosomal RNA (253 nucleotides) under uncultured bacterium. RNAcentral describes it as "partial 16S ribosomal RNA". It matches the Rfam family "Bacterial small subunit ribosomal RNA", at positions 524 to 776 of the family's 1533-position model. The record is from RNAcentral.
UACAGAGGUCUCAAGCGUUGUUCGGAUUCAUUGGGCGUAAAGGGUGCGUAGGUGGCGCCGUAAGUCAGAUGUGAAAUUUCGGAGCUUAACUCCGAAACUGCAUUUGAUACUGCGGUGCUUGAGGACUGGAGAGGAGACUGGAAUUCACGGUGUAGCAGUGAAAUGCGUAGAUAUCGUGAGGAAGACCAGUGGCGAAGGCGGGUCUCUGGACAGUUCCUGACACUGAGGCACGAAGGCUAGGGGAGCAAACGGG